This 245-nucleotide ribosomal RNA is filed under the name uncultured bacterium. RNAcentral describes it as "partial 16S ribosomal RNA". It matches the Rfam family "Bacterial small subunit ribosomal RNA", at positions 524 to 768 of the family's 1533-position model. The record is from RNAcentral.
UACGGAGGGUGCAAACGUUGCUCGGAAUCAUUGGGCGUAAAGCGCACGUAGGCGGCCAAUUAAGUCGGGUGUGAAAGCCCGGGGCUCAACCCCGGAAGUGCACUCGAAACUGAUUGGCUUGAAUAUGGAAGAGGGUUGCGGAAUUCCCGGUGUAGAGGUGAAAUUCGUAGAUAUCGGGAGGAACACCAGUGGCGAAGGCGGCAACCUGGGCCAAUAUUGACGCUGAGGUGCGAAAGCGUGGGGAG